RNAcentral lists this ribosomal RNA (460 nucleotides) under uncultured bacterium. Its description in RNAcentral is "partial 16S ribosomal RNA". It matches the Rfam family "Bacterial small subunit ribosomal RNA", at positions 338 to 795 of the family's 1533-position model. The record is from RNAcentral.
CCUACGGGAGGCAGCAGUGAGGAAUAUUGGUCAAUGGACGAGAGUCUGAACCAGCCAAGUAGCGUGAAGGAAGACUGCCCUAUGGGUUGUAAACUUCUUUUAUAAAGGAAUAAAACGAGGCACGUGUGCCUUUUUGCAUGUACUGUAUGAAUAAGGAUCGGCUAACUCCGUGCCAGCAGCCGCGGUAAUACGGAGGAUCCGAGCGUUAUCCGGAUUUAUUGGGUUUAAAGGGUGCGUAGGAGGGUUGUUAAGUCAGUUGUGAAAGUUUGGGGCUCAACCGUAAAAUUGCAAUUGAUACUGGCAGUCUUGAGUACAGUUGAGGUAGGCGGAAUUCGUGGUGUAGCGGUGAAAUGCUUAGAUAUCACGAAGAACCCCGAUUGCGAAGGCAGCUUACCAAACUGUGACUGACAUUGAGGCUCGAAAGCGUGGGUAUCAAACAGGAUUAGAUACCCUUGUAGUC